AUGAGAACAGGGGGAGAGACUGCCGCGUACUUGGCAGCGCCGAAGGAGCAAAUAGCGAAAGUUGUGAAUCUCUCAGGCAAAAAGACUCUUGUUUGACG
RNAcentral lists this non-coding RNA (98 nucleotides) under Heyndrickxia shackletonii. RNAcentral's name for it is "Bacillus shackletonii Glycine sequence". It matches the Rfam family "Glycine riboswitch aptamer". From Rfam's summary of the family: This family represents the bacterial glycine riboswitch. Glycine riboswitches usually consist of two metabolite-binding aptamers domains with similar structures in tandem. Lineage: Bacteria; Bacillati; Bacillota; Bacilli; Caryophanales; Bacillaceae. The record is from Rfam by way of RNAcentral.